This 472-nucleotide ribosomal RNA is filed under the name uncultured bacterium. RNAcentral's name for it is "bacterial SSU rRNA". It matches the Rfam family "Bacterial small subunit ribosomal RNA", at positions 29 to 492 of the family's 1533-position model. The record is from RNAcentral.
AUUGAACGCUGGCGGCAGGCCUAACACAUGCAAGUCGGACGGUAGCACAGAGAGCUUGCUCUUGGGUGACGAGUGGCGGACGGGUGAGUAAUGUCUGGGGAUCUGCCCGAUAGAGGGGGAUAACCACUGGAAACGGUGGCUAAUACCGCAUAACGUCGCAAGACCAAAGAGGGGGACCUUCGGGCCUCUCACUAUCGGAUGAACCCAGAUGGGAUUAGCUAGUAGGCGGGGUAAUGGCCCACCUAGGCGACGAUCCCUAGCUGGUCUGAGAGGAUGACCAGCCACACUGGAACUGAGACACGGUCCAGACUCCUACGGGAGGCAGCAGUGGGGAAUAUUGCACAAUGGGCGCAAGCCUGAUGCAGCCAUGCCGCGUGUAUGAAGAAGGCCUUCGGGUUGUAAAGUACUUUCAGCGGGGAGGAAGGCGGUGAGGUUAAUAACCUCGCCGAUUGACGUUACCGCAGAAGAAGCA